Molecule: ribosomal RNA, 163 nt
Filed under: uncultured bacterium
Lineage: Bacteria
Description: partial 16S rRNA
Rfam family: Bacterial small subunit ribosomal RNA
Source: RNAcentral
UAGGGAAUCUUCCACAAUGGGCGCAAGCCUGAUGGAGCAACACCGCGUGAGUGAAGAAGGGUUUCGGCUCGUAAAGCUCUGUUGUUAAAGAAGGCACGUAUGAGAGUAACUGUUCAUACGUUGACGGUAUUUAACCAGAAAGUCACGGCUAACUACGUGCCAC